CUGGGUAAAUCUCACCAUUGACAUUUUAUGUUCUCGUUUUUGGCCUGGAAAAAUAUCUGUUAGGAAAAAAGAACUAGUGAAUAUACUGAAUCAUUAACUAUGUUUUUGGGUUUUGUGUCUGUGAUACUGUUUUAUUCCCUAAAAGAUGUCUAGACUGUGAUUUUUAAUUAUUUGCCUACUACACUUCAACUCUAUUCUUUUCUAUGGUGGCUGAUUUCCUCAGUAACACUCAGUAUUUACACUAUUGUAAAUAAACGUGUAAAUUAUUAUUUACAGUGUAAAUAAACUAACACUGGAGAUGUCCAGUGUUAGUUUGCUACAGAAAUCAUUUGAAACAUGUUUCGUUUUCCUCAUCUACUCAGGUAUUGAAAUACACACCUCAGAUGACUUUCAUUUCCUCAAAAGUUUUUACAUUUGCCUUUUUCUCCUUUCUCGGAGGAGGUUAUUUUCCUCUUUGUAAAGUCAACCCCUUCAUGAAUGGUUAUAUCCCCUGUUAUCUUCUUUUAGCCUUUUCACUUCCCUCUAAAAAGACAACCAUUCUAAUGUGCUAAAUUUGUAUCUCUUUGUUUGCCUUGUGAAUUUUUGACAUAUGGCAUUUUAUGACAUAAUCUCACUUUUUCUUAUUCUUUUCAUUUUAGUGCUGCUUGUUGCUGAUGUUUCUGCCCAAAUACCAUGAAAAUGUGGAGAAGAAAGAAAGAACACUCAGAUGUGCCUGGAGACUUUCUUUUUAUUUUUAAACAUGUACAUCCUGAAAUUAUGUUAGACUUUCUGGAAUCACCUUCCAGGAUUAAGCUGAUGUAUCAAGCUGGCCUUUUUCAGACAUACUUGCAACCAGAGUCAUUGAUUUUGAAGGCAGUGACCAAGCCAAGCAAUGUGACGUUACAGCUACAAAGCAGAACAGAGAUGUCUAGGCUACAGACACAGCCUGACGCUUUGUGCUGAUUGGUAAGGUGCUCCAGCCAGCUGGAAGCAAAUAUUUCUCAGAAGCAGUUUCCUGCUCUCCUCGCCAUGCCUACUGUGCCCAACAUGGCUCCAGCUGGGCCACAGAAGACUUCGUCAUGAAAGACAGCAUUUCCUUAUGUAAAUCCCUAACUUCGUAUGCACUCUUUUCAAUAAAAGCAUAUUUUUCAUUACUUUCCUGACUGUACUCCCUUCUUUGCUGGCUCCACAGUUACAAUUUCUGCACCUUUUCCAUGACUUCUGGAAUCUGUGUCUGUUGCUGCAAGUAUGCAUUCCAUAGGUAUUAAUAAAUCCAUUUACUUUUAUGAAUUCUGGGAAGCUUAAAUCAUAUUACAUUCUAAUGUAUUUUUAACACAAGCACUUCUCCAUAAGUUCCUUGAGGUCAGAAAUAGUCCCUUAGUCAGCCUCUGCCUUCUGUAGUUCCUGGUCCAUCAAAGUGCAGAGGAAACAUUCACAGAUACAUAGAUAACUCUCAUUCAAUGCUCUAAUCUUUCCUUUAUCUUGUUUCAUUGAAUAGUUCUCUUUCAUGGUUCUUUUCUAGUUAAUUUAUUAGUAUACUCCUCUAAUUCUAUUUGCUUACUUUCAACCAAUUCUUUCAUUGCCUAUAAACACAUUUUUAGACAAUUUAUAGACAUAAUCAGUAAUAGGAGUCCACAUUUUAUCACUGCAAGAUUUUAGAAAAUUACUUCUUAAAUUACUUUGUGACCAAGCUUUUAUAAAAUUUGCCCUUAGACAGUUAUCCAGAAAUCCAUACUGCUUUCUUAUUCAAAGUAGUAAAACUUAAUAAUUUUACCAUAUUUAUAUAUAUGCUAUAAUUUUACAUUUUAAAUAGGUAAAGGCAGGAAGAUACACAAAUUUUGAAUGUGCAAAAUCUUCCUUCCAUAACCGAACCAGGAAUAGAACAUAAGUCAGUUUUAUUCCUCACUUGGGAAAGCUAAUAUCGCUUUCUCUAUAUCCAGUUUUGUUAUAUUCAGUAGAAUAAAUAAUAAGGAAGUGACUUUAUUUGUAAAGGAGAAUGGUCCAGAAAACCUUGAAUAGAAAUUUCAAAUAACAUGGUAGUUACAAGCUGAGUGACUUAUUUGUCAUAGAAUCAAUAAAGCUAUUUGUGAGAGAUGAUGGCAGAAAACUAGACAAAAAUUGUAUAAUAUUGCAAUAGAAAUACACCUGGAAAUGCCAAGAAAUGAAUUUGAAACCUAUUUCAUUGCUUGAAUGGAGUCUGUGUUCUGAAUGAUAAGACUAUCCACUGGGGAUUUUCCAUCUGAAUGCUCUUUUGUAAGUUAAGUCACAAGAACAUCACGUGAAACUGCCCACUGGAGAUUAUGCUGUGUUCUGUGUGUCUUCCGAAACAGACCACAGGCUUGGAAUUAGUGAAGUAAUUGAUGAAUAUAAAACUUCAGCAUGACACAUAAUUUAAUUUUCAAAGGUUGAAACAAAACCUUAGCUUUUCAGAAAUGUGCUGCUAUCUUAACCGGCAUUCCUUCUUAUAUCACAGAGCAACUGCAGAUUGAGAAGAGAUUAUUUUCCUUCAAAUUAAAUAAUUUCUCGAAGCUGUUUUCUGAAAGAUCCUCUUUUCUGCCAGUCAUUU
Molecule: long non-coding RNA, 2545 nt
Filed under: Callithrix jacchus (white-tufted-ear marmoset)
Lineage: Eukaryota; Metazoa; Chordata; Mammalia; Primates; Cebidae
Description: lncRNA (ENSCJAG00000070341.1)
Source: RNAcentral